UACGGGGGGGGCAAGCGUUGUUCGGAAUUACUGGGCGUAAAGGGUCUGUAGGUGGUCUGCUAAGUCAGACGUGAAAUCCCUCAGCUUAACUGGGGAACUGCGUCUGAUACUGGCGGACUUGAGGGCAGGAGAGGAACGCGGAAUUCCAGGUGUAGAGGUGAAAUUCGUAGAUAUCAGGAGGAACACCAGUGGCGAAGGCGGCUUUCUGGACGGUAACUGACGCUGAGACGCGAAAGCGUGGGGAGCAAACAGG
Molecule: ribosomal RNA, 253 nt
Filed under: uncultured bacterium
Lineage: Bacteria
Description: partial 16S ribosomal RNA
Rfam family: Bacterial small subunit ribosomal RNA
Source: RNAcentral